RNAcentral lists this ribosomal RNA (468 nucleotides) under uncultured bacterium. RNAcentral describes it as "partial 16S ribosomal RNA". It matches the Rfam family "Bacterial small subunit ribosomal RNA", at positions 28 to 507 of the family's 1533-position model. The record is from RNAcentral.
GACGAACGCUGGCGGCGUGCUUAACACAUGCAAGUCGAACGGAAAGGCCCUGCUUUUGUGGGGUGCUCGAGUGGCGAACGGGUGAGUAACACGUGAGUAACCUGCCCUUGACUUUGGGAUAACUUCAGGAAACUGGGGCUAAUACCGGAUAGGAGCUCCUGCUGCAUGGUGGGGGUUGGAAAGUUUCGGCGGUUGGGGAUGGACUCGCGGCUUAUCAGCUUGUUGGUGGGGUAGUGGCUUACCAAGGCUUUGACGGGUAGCCGGCCUGAGAGGGUGACCGGCCACAUUGGGACUGAGAUGCGGCCCAGACUCCUACGGGAGGCAGCAGUGGAGAAUAUUGCACAAUGGGAGGAGGCCUGAUGCAGCAACGCCGCGUGCGGGAUGACGGCCUUCGGGUUGUAAACCGCUUUCGCCUGUGACGAAGCGUGAGUGACGGUAAUGGGUAAAGAAGCACCGGCUAACUACGUG